RNAcentral lists this ribosomal RNA (307 nucleotides) under uncultured bacterium. Its description in RNAcentral is "bacterial SSU rRNA". It matches the Rfam family "Bacterial small subunit ribosomal RNA", at positions 28 to 334 of the family's 1533-position model. The record is from RNAcentral.
GACGAACGCUGGCGGCGUGCUUAACACAUGCAAGUCGAACGGUGAUGACCAGCUUGCUGGUCUGAUCAGUGGCGAACGGGUGAGUAACACGUGAGUAACCUGCCCCAGACUCUGGGAUAAGCCUUGGAAACGAGGUCUAAUACUGGAUAUGAGAUGCCCCUGCAUGGGGAGUGUCUGGAAAGAUUUAUCGGUCUGGGAUGGACUCGCGGCCUAUCAGCUUGUUGGUGGGGUAAUGGCCUACCAAGGCGACGACGGGUAGCCGGCCUGAGAGGGCGACCGGCCACACUGGGACUGAGACACGGCCCAG